GUUUUUUAAUGUAUAAGCAUAUAUAUAAUUUCUAAGUGACCUACUCAGUUUUUACUUCAUUUUACUUCAUUUGCAGUUUAGGUACAGGAAGAAAAGAAUCCAUCUGUGGAAUUUCCCUGUGCAAGAUGCCAAAUGCUCAGUUGGAAAGGAGGCUUCUUCCCCCAGUCAGCUGCUGCAGCAGAGGAUGCACAGUGUCAGAGGUGGAGAUGGCCAAAAUGAAGCCAAAGAAUCCUUGGUGCUGUCCUGUGUCUGAACACCAGAGCACUGAAUACUGAGCAGAACUGUCUCCUCUGUACCUCAAGAACUUCCUGUAGGAAAUUUUUAGACUGCUGGUGGCAGCCCCAUGGAAUGAGUCAGCUCCGUGCUGCUUUCAGUCUGGUGAAUGAGAGGAUUCUGGAGGCAUAAUUUCUUUAUUACUGAAGCCUGGGUUUGACAAAAUUGUAGAAUUCACUGCUUUCUCAUAGAUAUGUGUGUCUAAUUGACAGAAAGAAAACACCAAAGCCUUGUGUGAAUCAGAAUUCCAGAAUCAUUAAGGAUGGAGAAAAAACUCCAGGUGAUCCUGGAGGUCAAACCUGUGACUGACCCAGCCCAGAGCACUGAGUGCCACAUCCAUUCAUUCCUUGGUCACUUCCAGGGAUGGGCACUCCAAACCUCUUGGGGCAGCCCCUUCCAGUGCCUGAGCACCCUUUCCAUGGGGAAGUUCCUGCUGCUGCCCACCCUGAGCCUGCCCUGGCCCAGCCUGAGGCCGUUCCCUCUCCUCCUGUCCCUGUUCCCUGGCAGCAGAGCCCGACCCCCCCGGCUGUCCCCUCCUGUCAGGAGCUGUGCAGAGCCACAAGGUCCCCCCUGAGCCUCCUUUUCUCCAGGCUGAGCCCCUUCCCAGCUGCCUCAGCUGCUCCUGGGGCUCCAGCCCCUCCCCAGCUCCGUUCCCUUUUCUCAGCCUGAAUGUGUGCCAGUCAGAGGCACCACUGUGCCGAUAAGUUAUUGUGUGCCCCAGCUUUUGCCAAAGCAGGAACACAAGAGCAGCAAAGCUCUGGUUAAUUAUUCUGAUACCUCCCUUCCUUAAGAGGCUCUGAGAUGAGUAUAUCUUUUAAAGGAAAAAAAUUGUCUUGCAUCCUGUAGGUUAUUUUCCAGAGAAAUACAAAAAAUACCUUUCUGCUGAGAAUUAGCCUUUCUGCAUAAAAUGCAAAUCCACUGUCCAGGCCCCAGAUAAACACAUACUGGAAUGGCAUCACUGCUUGUGCAGAGUCCUGGCUGUGCUUCUGGGAUUCUUCAACCAUUUCCAGCUCCAGCACUCAGCCGCAAGCCUGAAACUCCUCACCUUAGUGCUGCUCAUGUUUUCCCUUUCUUUGAGGCUUUGAAGAGCUUAAAGAUCACCUCUCUCAAAGUACUUGACAAAAGUAUCUCUUACCUGCAGAAGGUAACUCCUGCACUCUUCAUCUGAAGCAUUUUACUAUCUACCUGAUCUUUUCAUGUAUUUCUAUUUUUCCCAGAAAAUUCACCUUCGUCCUCUUUUUUGUUUCAUGACCUGCAUCUCACUCAUUUGUGGCCUACUCAGCCAGGGAGGCACCUCUGGGGUGCUGUGUCCAGCCCUGGAUCCUCAGCACAGCAGGGACAGGAGCUCCUGGAGCGGGGCCAGCUCAGGCUGUGAGGAUGAGGAGGGCCUGGAGCAUCUCUGUGCCCAGGAAAGGCUGAGGGAGCUGGGGCUGCUCAGCCUGGAGAGGAGCCCCAGCUGAGAGGGGCCCUCAGGCCUGGCUGUCCCUGUGUGCAGGGAGGGCAGAGCAGGGCCCAGGCUCUGCUCCGGGGCCCAGCAGUGGCACCAGAGCCACGGGCAGGGCCUGAGCCCAGGAACUGCCCCUGCCCAGGAGGCAGAACUGCUGCCCUGGG
Long non-coding RNA from Vidua chalybeata, 1884 nucleotides. RefSeq lists it as uncharacterized. The record is from RefSeq and is a predicted model, not a curated record. The transcript is spliced from 3 exons. NCBI's taxonomy places the organism in Eukaryota, Metazoa, Chordata, Aves, Passeriformes, Viduidae.